Molecule: ribosomal RNA, 395 nt
Filed under: uncultured bacterium
Lineage: Bacteria
Description: bacterial SSU rRNA
Rfam family: Bacterial small subunit ribosomal RNA
Source: RNAcentral
AUUGAACGCUGGCGGCAUGCCUUACACAUGCAAGUCCGAACGGCAGCGGACCUUCGGGUGCCGGCGAGUGGCGAACGGGUGAGUAAUAUAUCGGAACGUACCUUUCAGUGGGGGAUAACGUAGCGAAAGUUACGCUAAUACCGCAUAUUCUGUGAGCAGGAAAGCAGGGGAUCGCAAGACCUUGCGCUGAUUGAGCGGCCGAUAUCAGAUUAGCUAGUUGGUGAGGUAAAGGCUCACCAAGGCGACGAUCUGUAGCGGGUCUGAGAGGAUGAUCCGCCACACUGGAACUGAGACACGGUCCAGACUCCUACGGGAGGCAGCAGUGGGGAAUUUUGGACAAUGGGCGCAAGCCUGAUCCAGCCAUGCCGCGUGAGUGAAGAAGGCCUCGGUGUAAG